This 296-nucleotide signal recognition particle RNA is filed under the name Vombatus ursinus (common wombat). RNAcentral describes it as "Metazoan signal recognition particle RNA (ENSVURG00010014346.1)". It matches the Rfam family "Metazoan signal recognition particle RNA". From Rfam's summary of the family: The signal recognition particle (SRP) is a universally conserved ribonucleoprotein. It is involved in the co-translational targeting of proteins to membranes. The eukaryotic SRP consists of a 300-nucleotide 7S RNA and six proteins: SRPs 72, 68, 54, 19, 14, and 9. The record is from RNAcentral. Lineage: Eukaryota; Metazoa; Chordata; Mammalia; Diprotodontia; Vombatidae.
GUUGGGUGUGGUGCCCCGUAACAGUAGUCCCUGAUGCUGAGGAGGUGAGUAUGUUGGAUUGCUUAAGUAGAGAAAUCCUGAGUUAUAAGGCUAAAGCCAGUUAAGUGUGUCUGCAUUAAGUCUGGCACCAAUAUGGUGAGCCCUUAGGAGUGGGGGCUACCAGGUUGCUUGAGGAGGGAUGAAUUGGUCCAGGUUGGAAAUAGAGCAGGUCAAAGUUUCUAUUUCAAUCAGCAAUGGAGUCAGCUCAUGAGUAACCUUUGUCCUUCCACUCUGGGUGAGAUAAGAAGAUAAAACUU